This 794-nucleotide long non-coding RNA is filed under the name Chinchilla lanigera (long-tailed chinchilla). RNAcentral describes it as "lncRNA (ENSCLAG00000025701.1)". The record is from RNAcentral. Lineage: Eukaryota; Metazoa; Chordata; Mammalia; Rodentia; Chinchillidae.
AUGAUAACAAAAAGUUCUUUUGGUUGCACUGUGCUUCUUUUUAAAAGAUUGUCUUUUCCAAUCUUGUGCAUAACUUUUCAAAUCUGGCCAUUAAAACACCUUUUUAUACCACUGAGAACUUUGUCUGAAUUUGUUGUUCGGAUGAAUUUAGGAUCAAUUUCAGGAAGCUUUAGGUAUGGGAAGGAAUACUAUUUUUUCAAGAACUUAAGAACAGUAUUUACAAAGUUAUUUAAAUAUAAGCUGUAGAAAAGGUUCACUCUGACCCUGGAAAUGAAAUGAAGAAAAUCCUGGAAAGGAUAUGAUACACACUUCCAUUUCAAAAAUACAAAGAAGAUAGUAACUACUGUUGGACGUUAGGACUUAAAUAUUCUGUCCCAAAUCUGUAAAAGCUAUGAGUUGCAACAGAAGGGAAUUCAGUGGUUUCCCUGCAAACUGUUCAAAGGAUGCAACCUUGAGGGACCAAGGCCAAUUCCAGCUCUGCAAAAGAUAAGGAAUUGAUGAAGUGUCAAGAAGAGAAAAGAAAACAGAACACGAGGAUCAUUGUGCACUUCCAAGGAGCUCUGUACAGAGGGCUUUUCUCCCCUCUCCUCCUCUGUUAGCUUUUAUGAUUAUUUUAAGACGGGCUGAGAUUGUGAUGUUUUUAUACUUUAUUGUAGAAUAUGUUCUUUGAACAGAAAGGAACCUUCAGGAUCCCUUCUGUCAUAUGCAUGUCAGAAAAUGGAGCUCAGAGCCUAGGCUAGGGUGAAUUGGAAUUAAAUCCAGGUUUCCUGACUUUACAUCAACUCCCUUGCCCA